Molecule: ribosomal RNA, 730 nt
Filed under: Cytobacillus firmus
Lineage: Bacteria; Bacillati; Bacillota; Bacilli; Caryophanales; Bacillaceae
Description: bacterial SSU rRNA
Rfam family: Bacterial small subunit ribosomal RNA
Source: RNAcentral
GGAGCUUGCUCCCUGAAGUCAGCGGCGGACGGGUGAGUAGCACGUGGGCCACCUGCCUGUAAGACUGGGAUAACUCCGGGAAACCGGGGCUAAUACCGGAUAAUUCUUUCCCUCACAUGAGGGAAAGCUGAAAGAUGGUUUCGGCUAUCACUUACAGAUGGGCCCGCGGCGCAUUAGCUAGUUGGCGAGGUAACGGCUCACCAAGGCAACGAUGCGUAGCCGACCUGAGAGGGUGAUCGGCCACACUGGGACUGAAACCCGGCCCAAACUCCUACGGGAGGCAGCAGUAGGGAAUCUUCCGCAAUGGACGAAAGUCUGACGGAGCAACGCCGCGUGAGUGAUGAAGGUUUUCGGAUCGUAAAACUCUGUUGUUAGGGAAGAACAAGUACCGGAGUAACUGCCGGUACCUUGACGGUACCUAACCAGAAAGCCACGGCUAACUACGUGCCAGCAGCCGCGGUAAUACGUAGGUGGCAAGCGUUGUCCGGAAUUAUUGGGCGUAAAGCGCGCGCAGGCGGUUCCUUAAGUCUGAUGUGAAAGCCCCCGGCUCAACCGGCGAGGGUCAUUGGAAACUGUGGAACUUGAGUGCAGAAGAUAAGAGUGGGAAUUCCACGUGUAGCGGUGAAAUGCGUAGAGAUGUGGAGGAACACCAGUGGCGACUGGCGACUCUUUGGUCUGUAACUGACGCUGAGGCGCGAAAGCGUGGGGAGCAAACAGGAUGAUAUACCCU